RNAcentral lists this ribosomal RNA (948 nucleotides) under Triticum aestivum (bread wheat). Its description in RNAcentral is "partial small subunit ribosomal RNA". The record is from RNAcentral. Lineage: Eukaryota; Viridiplantae; Streptophyta; Magnoliopsida; Poales; Poaceae.
AUGGGCGGCACGCCGCGGAGCAGCAUCGGCCACAUCCUGCCCGGCGCCGGCUUCUUCACCGUCGGCCUGUGGCACCUGUUCAACCACAUUAGGCUCUUCUCCCAGCGCCCGGACUCCUACGUCGCGCCGGUGUGGUUCCCCGUGCCGCGCGCGCGCUACCUCGAGCCCGCCCUCGUCAUCGCCGGCAGCGCCCUCGAGUUCGUCAUGGAGAUGUUCGUGGACCACUCCACCUUCCUGCCGUUCGACGCCGACGGCUCCAUCCCGUCGGACCGCCUCCACAACCACGAGCACGCCAUCAUCUGCCUGGCCCUCAUCGUCUACGCGGGCGGCGCCGUCCACCUGGACCGCGCUCGGGCUCCGGGGCGCCGCGCGCUCUGCCUGCUGCUCGUGUCGGUGGUGUUCGCGCAGGAGCUCCUCGUAUUCCACUUCCACUCCACCGACCACGCCGGCGUCGAGGGCCAGUUCCACUGGAUCCUCCAGGUGGUCGUCGCGGCGUGCCUCGGCACCGCGCUCCUCGGCGUCGGCUUCCCGCGGAGCUUCGCGGUGAGCCUGGCCCGGUCGGCGUGCAUCAUGUUCCACGGGGUGUGGCUGGCGGUCAUCGGCGCCAUGGUGUGGGUGCCCAGCAUGGUGCCCAAGGGGUGCUCGCUGGUGCGCGAGGACGGCCGCGACACGGUGCGCUGCCACAGCAAGGCCAGCCUUCACCGCGCCAGGGCGCUCGUGAACCUGCAGUUCGGGUGGUACCUGUCCUUCAUGACCGUGCUCGUCCUCGCGGUCUAUCUCUACGUUUGCAGCAAAUACCCCGCCGACCAACCGUACGCGCGGCUCCUCCGGAAAGCCGGCGACGAGGAGGAAGAGCAUGACCUAGAGGCGCGCAAGUGCGGGGUGCCGCGUGACGGCGGCAGCGACGUGCAUGCGCGUGGCUUCGCGCCACUGGAGAUCCAGGUGUAA